UCUCUCUCUCUCUCUCUGUCUCUCUCUCUGUCUCUCUCUCUAACACACUUUGGAAGGUAUUUAGUUGACAGUGUCUUUUUCUCUACUCUGGGGAUAGUUUAGGAUGAAUCUAUAUUAGAGAUACUAUAGACCAGGGCUGGAGGAGAAGAGACAGAAUAGUUUAGGAUGAAUUUUUAUUAGAGAUACUAUAGACCAGGGCUGGAGGAGAAGAGACAGAAUAGUUUAGGAUGAAUCUAUAUUAGAGAUACUAUAGACCAGGGCUGGAGGAGAAGAGACAGAAUAGUUUAGGAUGAAUUUUUAUUAGAGAUACUAUAGACCAGGGCUGGAGGAGAAGAGGGUCUUUGGGGGGGAAGAGAAGAAAAUAGACAGGAAGAGGAAGGGAAGAGAGAAGGUUUAAAGACAGGGAGAGGAAGGGAAGACAGAAGGUUUAAAGACAGGGAGAGGAAGGGAAGAGAGAAGGUUUAAAGACAGGGAGAGGAAGGGAAGACAGAAGGUUUAAAGACAGGGAGAGGAAGGGAAGAGAGAAGGUUUAAAGACAGGGAGAGGAAGGGAAGACAGAAGGUUUAAAGACAGGGAGAGGAAGGGAAGACAGAAGGUUUAAAGACAGGGAGAGGAAGGGAAGAGAGAAGGUUUAAAGACAGGGAGAGGAAGGGAAGAGAGAAGGUUUAAAGACAGGGAGAGGAAGGGAAGAGAGAAGGCUUAAAGACAGGGAGAGGAAGGGAAGACAGAAGGCUUAAAGACAGGGAGAGGAAGGGAAGACAGAAGGUUUAAAGACAGGGAGAGGAAGGGAAGACAGAAGGUUUAAAGACAGGGAGAGGAAGGGAAGAGAGAAGGUUUAAAGACAGGGAGAGGAAGGGAAGACAGAAGGUUUAAAGACAGGGAGAGGAAGGGAAGAGAGAAGGUUUAAAGACAGGAAGAGGAAGGGAAGACAGAAGGUUUAAAGACAGGGAGAGGAAGGGAAGACAGAAGGUUUAAAGACAGGGAGAGGAAGGGAAGACAGAAGGUUUAAAGACAGGGAGAGGAAGGGAAGAGAGAAG
Molecule: long non-coding RNA, 1037 nt
Filed under: Salmo salar (Atlantic salmon)
Lineage: Eukaryota; Metazoa; Chordata; Actinopteri; Salmoniformes; Salmonidae
Description: lncRNA (ENSSSAG00000115647.1)
Source: RNAcentral